AAAUUGAAGAGUUUGAUCAUGGCUCAGAUUGAACGCUGGCGGCAGGCCUAACACAUGCAAGUCGAACGGUAACAGGAAACAGCUUGCUGUUUCGCUGACGAGUGGCGGACGGGUGAGUAAUGUCUGGGAAACUGCCUGAUGGAGGGGGAUAACUACUGGAAACGGUAGCUAAUACCGCAUAACGUCGCAAGACCAAAGAGGGGGACCUUCGGGCCUCUUGCCAUCGGAUGUGCCCAGAUGGGAUUAGCUUGUUGGUGGGGUAACGGCUCACCAAGGCGACGAUCCCUAGCUGGUCUGAGAGGAUGACCAGCCACACUGGAACUGAGACACGGUCCAGACUCCUACGGGAGGCAGCAGUGGGGAAUAUUGCACAAUGGGCGCAAGCCUGAUGCAGCCAUGCCGCGUGUAUGA
Molecule: ribosomal RNA, 411 nt
Filed under: Escherichia coli
Lineage: Bacteria; Pseudomonadati; Pseudomonadota; Gammaproteobacteria; Enterobacterales; Enterobacteriaceae
Description: bacterial SSU rRNA
Rfam family: Bacterial small subunit ribosomal RNA
Source: RNAcentral